RNAcentral lists this ribosomal RNA (302 nucleotides) under uncultured bacterium. RNAcentral's name for it is "partial 16S ribosomal RNA". It matches the Rfam family "Bacterial small subunit ribosomal RNA", at positions 508 to 807 of the family's 1533-position model. The record is from RNAcentral.
GCAGUCGCCACGGUAAUACGAAGGGGGCUAGCGUUGUUCGGAUUUACUGGGCGUAAAGGGCGCGUAGGCGGACUGAUAAGUCAGGGGUGAAAUCCCAAGGCUCAACCUUGGAACUGCCUUUGAUACUGUUUGUCUUGAGUUCGAGAGAGGUAAGUGGAACUGCGAGUGUAGAGGUGAAAUUCGUAGAUAUUCGCAAGAACACCAGUGGCGAGGGCGGCUUACUGGCUCGAAACUGACGCUGAGGCGCGAAAGCGUGGGGAGCAAACAGGAUUAGAUACCCCGGUAGUCCCUGUCUCUUAUAC